AUGGCUGCACCGAUCAACGGGAGCAGCGGCUGGACGCUGCUCCGCCCGCUCUGCCAGGGCGCGUCUGGUGCUGCUGUAUCUCUCGCGGAAGACGCGGCCUCCGGGGAGCUCUUCGUCGUGAAGUCGGCGGCUGCCGGGGAUGCCGCGCAGCUGCGCCGCGAAUGGGGCAUCAUGUCCGGCCUAUCCUCCCCGCACGUCGUCAAGUGCCUAGGGUUCCGCUCGAUCGGGGCGCUGGAUCACCUGCUGCUGGAGUUCGCGCCCGGCGGAUCACUCGCCGACGUGGCGGCGGCGCGGCGCGGGCUCGAGGAAGAAGCCGUAAGGGCUUACGCGGCGGACGUGCUAAGGGGGCUGGAUUACCUCCACGAGAGGCUCAUGGUGCACGGGGACGUCAAGGGAAGGAACGUGGUGGUCGGCGCCGACGGGCGGGCCAAGCUCGCCGACUUUGGCUGCGCGAGGGCGGCGGGUCAUACAAAGCAGCCGUUCGGCGGCACGCCGACGUUCAUGGCGCCCGAGGUGGCGCGCGGGGAGGAGCAGGGUCCCCCGGCGGACGUGUGGGCGCUGGGGUGCACCGUCCUCGAGAUGGCCACGGGCGGUCGCGUCCCGUGGGGUGACGCCGAUGAUAACGUGCUCGCCGUGCUGCACCGAAUCGGGUUCACCGACGCCGUACCAGAGGUGCCACAGUGGCUCUCGCCGGAGGCUAAGGACUUCCUGGGCCGGUGCUUGCGGAGGCGCGCCUCUGACCGUGACACGGCGGCGCAGCUCCUAGAGCACCCAUUCGUGGCACUGGCAACGCCAAUCAAGAAAGAGGAGGAGGCGGUGAAGAAGCGGACGUGGGAGUCUCCCACGAGCACGCUGGACGCCGCACUUUGGGAGUCAGACUUUGAGCCCGACGACGACGACAUGUCGUCGAAUAGCCCGGUCGGCAGGAUCAGGGAAUUGGCAUGCACCGGCCUGCCGUUGCCCGACUGGGACCCCGACCAAGGCUGGAUCGAAGUCUGCAGCUGUUAA
RNAcentral lists this ribosomal RNA (1008 nucleotides) under Triticum aestivum (bread wheat). Its description in RNAcentral is "partial small subunit ribosomal RNA". Lineage: Eukaryota; Viridiplantae; Streptophyta; Magnoliopsida; Poales; Poaceae. The record is from RNAcentral.